CCCUAUAAAGGCCAGACCAGCUUCAGCCUUAGGCUAAUUUCUCCUAAGGGUCACACGAUUUUAAGAAAAUAGAAGACUAUCAUUUACAGCUGGUGUGGCCCUGUGGCGGUGUGGACCCAGAUUUCAAGCACAGAGGAAGAUCAGACACUGAUGUCCCGCAUCUGAUAUGUAUAUAACACAAUUCUCAAUUAUCCUUUGAUUGUGUUUUACUCCCUUCUGUACAAUAGACUCAUUUUUAAAGCAAAAGUUGAAGAAAGUGAACAAAAACAGCAGUGGAAAGUUCAUAAAAGACAAAUGAAGAAUUCAGAGCCCAAUCCUAACCUCAAGCCAAGAAGUAAGAAAAGGAAGAAAAAAUCAAGAAACUCAGAACAGAACCCCAGCAACAUUGAACCAAGGAGCAUGGACUCUCAGGCUGUUCAUAGAUUUCAGGAUCUUUUCCACUACUUCCACAGGCAGAUAGAGGGCCAUCCCCACCACCGUCUCUACCACCACCGUCUCUUCCCAGAGGAGUUUUUACUCUUCCUCCAACUCCUUUACCUGAGCUAAGUGGUAAACCAUCAUCAUCACCAUCACCUUUGGAGACCUCCUCUACCACCACCUUUGUUGAGAGACCUACUCUCCAGGAUCCCCACCUGCUCUGUCUUAUGGAGUGAAACAGAAAUAAAUGUGUAAGACUCAA
Molecule: long non-coding RNA, 679 nt
Organism: Macaca mulatta (Rhesus monkey)
Lineage: Eukaryota; Metazoa; Chordata; Mammalia; Primates; Cercopithecidae
Source: RefSeq, a predicted model, not a curated record